UGCGUUAAACCACCCCGUCUCGUUGCCUCUGUAGUGGAGUGAUGCGUCUUUCCUGGCCAGGGGAUUUCCUUCUUCCAGAAGCACUCAAAGUUAUUACUGUGGAGGAGGAUCUGAGCUCUGCUGCGACGACUGUUUGAAGUUCCCAACAACAUGUUGCACUUUUAACACUCCCGGAGAUCACAGCCACGGCAGAAGGGGCAAUUAUGGCGUCCAAAUGUCAAGACCUAAUGUGGACACAUGGACCAGAGGAAGGGGUGACACGGCUGCUCCGGAGGGACUCUCACCCUGGUUUGGUCAGCAGAUGUGAGUGACUGUGUGGGGGUGUUAAAAGGCGGGAGGCUGGUUGAGACGAACAGGAGGCAAAGUUGGUUGAAUAACACAUUUUGAAAGCUUAAAUGACAUUAGUGGUGGAAGAAUUUCAUCCUUAAAAGAUCUGUUCCUGCACUUAACCUUUAAAAACGUAUAAUCAGGAUAAUUAGAAAAACUUGUACAGAUAUAUUAAAGCUGCAGUAGCUGAUAUUUUAUUUAAACGAUAGG
This is a long non-coding RNA of Mugil cephalus (flathead mullet), 537 nucleotides long. RefSeq lists it as uncharacterized. The record is from RefSeq and is a predicted model, not a curated record. The transcript is spliced from 2 exons. Lineage: Eukaryota; Metazoa; Chordata; Actinopteri; Mugiliformes; Mugilidae.